RNAcentral lists this ribosomal RNA (429 nucleotides) under uncultured bacterium. RNAcentral's name for it is "bacterial SSU rRNA". It matches the Rfam family "Bacterial small subunit ribosomal RNA", at positions 355 to 776 of the family's 1533-position model. The record is from RNAcentral.
UGGGGAAUAUUGGACAAUGGGGGCAACCCUGAUCCAGCAAUGCCGCGUGUGUGAAGAAGGCCUGAGGGUUGUAAAGCACUAUCAGUGGGGAGGAGGAUUUGUAGGUUAAGAGCUAGCAAAUUGGACGUUACCCACAGAAGAAGCACCGGCUAACUCCGUGCCAGCAGCCGCGGUAAUACGGAGGGUGCAAGCGUUAAUCGGAAUUACUGGGCGUAAAGGGUUCGUAGGUGGUUGUAUAAGUUAUCUGUAAAAGCCCUGGGCUCAACCUGGGAAGGUCAGAUAAAACUGUAUGACUCGAGUAUAGGAGAGGGUAGUGGAAUUUCCGGUGUAGCGGUGAAAUGCGUAGAGAUCGGAAGGAACACCAGUGGCGAAGGCGGCUACCUGGCCAGAUACUGACACUGAGGAACGAAAGCGUGGGGAGCAAACAGG